RNAcentral lists this ribosomal RNA (2792 nucleotides) under Klebsiella pneumoniae. RNAcentral describes it as "bacterial LSU rRNA". It matches the Rfam family "Bacterial large subunit ribosomal RNA". Lineage: Bacteria; Pseudomonadati; Pseudomonadota; Gammaproteobacteria; Enterobacterales; Enterobacteriaceae. The record is from RNAcentral.
UUAAGCGACUAAGCGUACACGGUGGAUGCCCUGGCAGUCAGAGGCGAUGAAGGACGUGCUAAUCUGCGAAAAGCGUCGGUAAGGUGAUAUGAACCGUUAUAACCGGCGAUGUCCGAAUGGGGAAACCCAGUGCAAUUCGUUGCACUAUCGUUAACUGAAUACAUAGGUUAACGAGGCGAACCGGGGGAACUGAAACAUCUAAGUACCCCGAGGAAAAGAAAUCAACCGAGAUUCCCCCAGUAGCGGCGAGCGAACGGGGAGCAGCCCAGAGUCUGAAUCAGCUUGUGUGUUAGUGGAACGGUCUGGAAAGUCCGACGGUACAGGGUGAUAGUCCCGUACACCAAAAUGCACAGGUUGUGAACUCGAAGAGUAGGGCGGGACACGUGGUAUCCUGUCUGAAUAUGGGGGGACCAUCCUCCAAGGCUAAAUACUCCUGACUGACCGAUAGUGAACCAGUACCGUGAGGGAAAGGCGAAAAGAACCCCGGCGAGGGGAGUGAAAAAGAACCUGAAACCGUGUACGUACAAGCAGUGGGAGCACCUUCGGGUGUGACUGCGUACCUUUUGUAUAAUGGGUCAGCGACUUAUAUUCUGUAGCAAGGUUAACCGUAUAGGGGAGCCGCAGGGAAACCGAGUCUUAACUGGGCGUUAAGUUGCAGGGUAUAGACCCGAAACCCGGUGAUCUAGCCAUGGGCAGGUUGAAGGUUGGGUAACACUAACUGGAGGACCGAACCGACUAAUGUUGAAAAAUUAGCGGAUGACUUGUGGCUGGGGGUGAAAGGCCAAUCAAACCGGGAGAUAGCUGGUUCUCCCCGAAAGCUAUUUAGGUAGCGCCUCGUGAACUCAUCUUCGGGGGUAGAGCACUGUUUCGGCUAGGGGGUCAUCCCGACUUACCAACCCGAUGCAAACUACGAAUACCGAAGAAUGUUAUCACGGGAGACACACGGCGGGUGCUAACGUCCGUCGUGAAGAGGGAAACAACCCAGACCGCCAGCUAAGGUCCCAAAGUCAUGGUUAAGUGGGAAACGAUGUGGGAAGGCACAGACAGCCAGGAUGUUGGCUUAGAAGCAGCCAUCAUUUAAAGAAAGCGUAAUAGCUCACUGGUCGAGUCGGCCUGCGCGGAAGAUGUAACGGGGCUAAACCAUGCACCGAAGCUGCGGCAGCGACACUAUGUGUUGUUGGGUAGGGGAGCGUUCUGUAAGCCUGCGAAGGUGUGCUGUGAGGCAUGCUGGAGGUAUCAGAAGUGCGAAUGCUGACAUAAGUAACGAUAAAGCGGGUGAAAAGCCCGCUCGCCGGAAGACCAAGGGUUCCUGUCCAACGUUAAUCGGGGCAGGGUGAGUCGACCCCUAAGGCGAGGCCGAAAGGCGUAGUCGAUGGGAAACAGGUUAAUAUUCCUGUACUUGGUGUUACUGCGAAGGGGGGACGGAGAAGGCUAUGUUAGCCGGGCGACGGUUGUCCCGGUUUAAGCAUGUAGGCUGGUUAUCCAGGCAAAUCCGGAUAAUCAAGGCUGAGGUGUGAUGACGAGGCACUACGGUGCUGAAGUAACAAAUGCCCUGCUUCCAGGAAAAGCCUCUAAGCAUCAGGUAACAUUAAAUCGUACCCCAAACCGACACAGGUGGUCAGGUAGAGAAUACCAAGGCGCUUGAGAGAACUCGGGUGAAGGAACUAGGCAAAAUGGUGCCGUAACUUCGGGAGAAGGCACGCUGGUGUGUAGGUGAAGUCCCUGCGGAUGGAGCUGAGACCAGUCGAAGAUACCAGCUGGCUGCAACUGUUUAUUAAAAACACAGCACUGUGCAAACACGAAAGUGGACGUAUACGGUGUGACGCCUGCCCGGUGCCGGAAGGUUAAUUGAUGGGGUUAUCCGUAAGGAGAAGCUCUUGAUCGAAGCCCCGGUAAACGGCGGCCGUAACUAUAACGGUCCUAAGGUAGCGAAAUUCCUUGUCGGGUAAGUUCCGACCUGCACGAAUGGCGUAAUGAUGGCCAGGCUGUCUCCACCCGAGACUCAGUGAAAUUGAACUCGCUGUGAAGAUGCAGUGUACCCGCGGCAAGACGGAAAGACCCCGUGAACCUUUACUAUAGCUUGACACUGAACAUUGAGCCUUGAUGUGUAGGAUAGGUGGGAGGCUUUGAAGCGUGGACGCCAGUCUGCGUGGAGCCAACCUUGAAAUACCACCCUUUAAUGUUUGAUGUUCUAACGUUGGCCCCUGACCGGGGUUGCGGACAGUGUCUGGUGGGUAGUUUGACUGGGGCGGUCUCCUCCCAAAGCGUAACGGAGGAGCACGAAGGUUAGCUAAUCCUGGUCGGACAUCAGGAGGUUAGUGCAAUGGCAUAAGCUAGCUUGACUGCGAGCGUGACGGCGCGAGCAGGUGCGAAAGCAGGUCAUAGUGAUCCGGUGGUUCUGAAUGGAAGGGCCAUCGCUCAACGGAUAAAAGGUACUCCGGGGAUAACAGGCUGAUACCGCCCAAGAGUUCAUAUCGACGGCGGUGUUUGGCACCUCGAUGUCGGCUCAUCACAUCCUGGGGCUGAAGUAGGUCCCAAGGGUAUGGCUGUUCGCCAUUUAAAGUGGUACGCGAGCUGGGUUUAGAACGUCGUGAGACAGUUCGGUCCCUAUCUGCCGUGGGCGCUGGAGAAUUGAGGGGGGCUGCUCCUAGUACGAGAGGACCGGAGUGGACGCAUCACUGGUGUUCGGGUUGUCAUGCCAAUGGCACUGCCCGGUAGCUAAAUGCGGAAGAGAUAAGUGCUGAAAGCAUCUAAGCACGAAACUUGCCCCGAGAUGAGUUCUCCCUGAGACU